UUUGUAUAUUCUAGAUAAACUAUUUAUUAUGACAAUGUUUAUCUAUGUGUCUUGACUAAAUCUUGUGCCAGCAGUCGCGGUAAGACAAGAAAGACUAGUGUUAUUCAUCUUUAUUAGGUUUAAAGGAUACCUAGACGGUACAUCUAGCUUGAAAAAGAAAGAGAUGGAACUAGAGUUUUAUUAAGAGAGGGAUGUGGUAUAGUGGGUGUAGUGAUAAUAUAUUUUGAUACCCAAGAGACAGUCCACGGCGAAGGCAUAGCCUCUAUGUAAAAUAAUAGCAAAAUAAUUAUAGAAAAAAAAUAAAUUAUUUUUCUAUUUAUGCUAUUUAACUGACGUUGAGGGAUGAAGGCUCGGUGGCGCGAAAAGGAUUAGAUACCCUUGUAGUCCGAGGAGAGAAUGAUGAGUGUCAUAAAUUAGGUAAAUAUUUAGUUUAUAAAUGAAAAUGUAAGCACUCCACCUCAAGAGUAACAUGGCAACAUGUAAACUGAAAUCAUUAGACCGUUUCUGAAACCAGUAAUGAAGUAUGUUGUUUAAUUCGAUGAUCCGCGAAAAACCUUACCACAACUUGAAUAAUAUAGAUUUUAUAUUACAAGCGUUGCACGGCUGUCUUCAGUUAAUGUCGUGAGAGAUGGUUAGAUCCAGAAAUUAACGUAAACCCCUGUGCUAGUUAUUUAAAUAGUACAUUACUUCUGCCACAAUGGAUGUGAUAAUAGG
This 714-nucleotide ribosomal RNA is filed under the name Strigula schizospora. Its description in RNAcentral is "SSU rRNA". It matches the Rfam family "Bacterial small subunit ribosomal RNA", at positions 434 to 1173 of the family's 1533-position model. The record is from RNAcentral. Lineage: Eukaryota; Fungi; Ascomycota; Dothideomycetes; Strigulales; Strigulaceae.